RNAcentral lists this ribosomal RNA (456 nucleotides) under uncultured bacterium. RNAcentral's name for it is "bacterial SSU rRNA". It matches the Rfam family "Bacterial small subunit ribosomal RNA", at positions 340 to 786 of the family's 1533-position model. The record is from RNAcentral.
UACGGAAGGCAGCAGUGGGGAAUAUUGCACAAUGGGCGCAAGCCUGAUGCAGCCAUGCCGCGUGUAUGAAGAAGGGCCUUCGGGUUGUAAAGUACUUUCAGUCGUGAGGAAGGUGUUAAGGUUAAUAACCUUAGCAAUUGACGUUAGCGACAGAAGAAGCACCGGCUAACUCCGUGCCAGCAGCCGCGGUAAUACGGAGGGUGCGAGCGUUAAUCGGAAUUACUGGGCGUAAAGGGCACGCAGGCGGUUAAUUAAGUUGGAUGUGAAAUCCCCGGGCUUAACCUGGGAAUGGCAUUCAAGACUGGUUAGCUAGAGUCUUGUAGAGGGGGUAGAAUUCCAUGUGUAGCGGUGAAAUGCGUAGAGAUGUGGAGGAAUACCGGGUGGCGAAGGCGGCCCCUGGGACAAAGACUGACGCUCAUGUGCGAAAGCGUGGGGAGCAAACAGGGAUUAGAUACC